GGCAAUGGACGAAAGUCUGACCGAGCAACGCCGCGUGAGUGAAGAAGGUUUUCGGAUCGUAAAACUCUGUUGUUAGAGAAGAACAGGAGCGAUAGUAACUGCUCGCUCUUUGACGGUAUCUAACCAGAAAGCCACGGCUAACUACGUACCAGCAGCCGCGGUAAUACGUAGGUGGCAAGCGUUGUCCGGAUUUAUUGGGCGUAAAGCGAGCGCAGGCGGUCUCUUAAGUCUGAUGUGAAAGCCCACGGCUUAACCGUGGAGGGUCAUUGGAAACUGGGAGACUUGAGUGCAGAAGAGGAAAGUGGAACUCCAUGUGUAGCGGUGGAAUGCGUAGAUAUAUGAAGAACACCAGUGGCGAAGGCGGCUUUCUGGUCUGUAACUGACGCUGAGGUUCGAAAGCGUGGGAGCAACAGGAUUAGAUACUCUGGUAGUCCACGCCG
RNAcentral lists this ribosomal RNA (440 nucleotides) under uncultured Bacillota bacterium. Its description in RNAcentral is "bacterial SSU rRNA". It matches the Rfam family "Bacterial small subunit ribosomal RNA", at positions 367 to 802 of the family's 1533-position model. The record is from RNAcentral. Lineage: Bacteria; Bacillati; Bacillota.